This is a non-coding RNA of Triticum aestivum (bread wheat), 115 nucleotides long. NCBI's taxonomy places the organism in Eukaryota, Viridiplantae, Streptophyta, Magnoliopsida, Poales, Poaceae. The record is from Rfam.
AUAAUACUCCCUCUGUACGGAAUUACUUGUCAUCAAAAUGGAUGUGUCUAGACCUAAAAUACAUCUAGAUACAUCCAUUUCAAUGACAAGUAUUUUUGGACGGAGGGAGUAGUAG